UACGUAGGGUCCAAGCGUUGUCCGGAUUUAUUGGGCGUAAAGAGCUCGUAGGCGGCUCAGUAAGUCGGAUGUGAAAACUCGGGGCUCAACCCCGAGACGCCAUCCGAUACUGCUGUGGCUUGAGUCUGGUAGGGGAACACGGAAUUCCUGGUGUAGCGGUGAAAUGCGCAGAUAUCAGGAGGAACACCGGUGGCGAAGGCGGUUCUCUGGGCAUGAUCUGACGCUGAGGAGCGAAAGUGUGGGGAGCGAACAGG
RNAcentral lists this ribosomal RNA (254 nucleotides) under uncultured bacterium. Its description in RNAcentral is "partial 16S ribosomal RNA". It matches the Rfam family "Bacterial small subunit ribosomal RNA", at positions 524 to 776 of the family's 1533-position model. The record is from RNAcentral.